Bombina bombina (fire-bellied toad) is the source of this 687-nucleotide long non-coding RNA. RefSeq lists it as uncharacterized. The record is from RefSeq and is a predicted model, not a curated record. The transcript is spliced from 5 exons. NCBI's taxonomy places the organism in Eukaryota, Metazoa, Chordata, Amphibia, Anura, Bombinatoridae.
ACUCCAAAUCUUGCCGUAUGUGUCUAUGGACAUCUUUUCUCAUAUUGUUGACCGCUUUUGUUAAUUUUUUUGUUGCCAGUAAAUUUUCCAGAAGUAAUUCAUCCGUCCGGCUAUACCGAUAUUGUUCUUCCAGUUGAGGUGGUUGAGUCUGGGCUGUCUGCUCAUCCACAAUGGGGGCAUGGUCUUCUGUUGAUGUUUGGUCAACGAUGACAGAUGACGAUGGUGAAAAGCAUGUUGCUUGAAUAUUUACAACAGGACUUCCCUCUGCACAAAGAACAGUUUGUUAUAACUUACGUGGAGGAGUAGUGGGCAUCUCUCCACUUCCGAAGGCUGCUACUGGUGGGAUCAGAAUCCGAGUUACUAACACUGUUAAAUAUAGAAUAAAAUCAGCACAAGCCAAGGUACUUACCACCAAAACUAGGCUGAGGCGUGCUUGGGGCUGAUCGCCCUGCAGAAUGUUUUCGGUGAUCUGGAAAACAUCAAGGAUAAGAGACAGAUACUUACCAGAACUAGGCUGAUCAGUGCUUGGGGCUGAUGAUCGCCCUGCAGAGUUUUUUUCGGUGAUCUGGAAAACAUCAAGGAUAAGAGACAGAUACUUACCAGAACUAGGCUGAUAAGUGCUUGGGGCUGAUGAUCGCCAUGCAGAAUUUUUUCGUGGAUCUGGAAAAUAUCAAGGAUAAGAGACAG